CCCUUAAGCUUAGUUGCCAUCAUUAAGUUGGGCACUCUAAGUUGACUGCCGGUGACAAACCGGAGGAAGGUGGGGAUGACGUCAAAUCAUCAUGCCCCUUAUGAUUUGGGCUACACACGUGCUACAAUGGACAAUACAAAGGGCAGCGAAACCGCGAGGUCAAGCAAAUCCCAUAAAGUUGUUCUCAGUUCGGAUUGUAGUCUGCAACUCGACUACAUGAAGCUGGAAUCGCUAGUAAUCGUAGAUCAGCAUGCUACGGUGAAUACGUUCCCGGGUCUUGUACACACCGCCCGUCACACCACGAGAGUUUGUAACACCCGAAGCCGGUGGAGUAACGUU
Molecule: ribosomal RNA, 339 nt
Filed under: Staphylococcus aureus
Lineage: Bacteria; Bacillati; Bacillota; Bacilli; Caryophanales; Staphylococcaceae
Description: bacterial SSU rRNA
Rfam family: Bacterial small subunit ribosomal RNA
Source: RNAcentral